RNAcentral lists this ribosomal RNA (710 nucleotides) under Copidapha neotricolor. RNAcentral describes it as "eukaryotic LSU rRNA". It matches the Rfam family "Eukaryotic large subunit ribosomal RNA", at positions 2287 to 2835 of the family's 3401-position model. Lineage: Eukaryota; Metazoa; Arthropoda; Insecta; Diptera; Tabanidae. The record is from RNAcentral.
AUGCCUCGUCAUCUAAUUAGUGACGCGCAUGAAUGGAUUAACGAGAUUCCUACUGUCCCUAUCUACUAUCUAGCGAAACCACAGCCAAGGGAACGGGCUUGGAAUAAUUAGCGGGGAAAGAAGACCCUGUUGAGCUUGACUCUAGUCUGGCAGUGUAAGGAGACAUAAGAGGUGUAGCAUAAGUGGGAGAUAUAUUAGUUUCGGCUAUAUAUAUCAAAAAUGAAAUACCACUACUCUUAUUGUUUCCUUACUUACUUGAUAAAAUGGAACGUGUAUCAUUCACUUAGCCAUUAUACGGAUAUAUUUAUAUAUUUUAUGGUAUUUUGUUUUGAUGCGAGCUUCUUGUUUAAAGUACCAAGAGUUUGUUAUAUACACCAAACAAAUAUCAAUUAAAUUUGCUUUCCAUUAAUAAUGGUUUGUUAAAUAUUAAUUGAAUUUGGUAUAACUAUUAUACUCAGGUAUGAUCCAAUUCAAGGACAUUGCCAGGUGGGGAGUUUGACUGGGGCGGUACAUCUCUCAAAUAAUAACGGAGGUGUCCCAAGGCCAGCUCAGUGCGGACAGAAACCACACAUAGAGCAAAAGGGCAAAUGCUGACUUGAUCUCGGUGUUCAGUACAUACAGAGACAGCAAAAGCUCGGCCUAUCGAUCCUUUUGGUUUAAAGAGUUUUUAACAAGAGGUGUCAGAAAAGUUACCACAGGGAUAACUGGCU